CCUACGGGUGGCAGCAGUGAGGAAUAUUGGUCAAUGGGCGCGAGCCUGAACCAGCCAAGUAGCGUGAAGGAUGACUGCCCUACGGGUUGUAAACUUCUUUUAUAAAGGAAUAAAGUGAGGCACGUGUGCCUUUUGUAUGUACUUUAUGAAUAAGGAUCGGCUAACUCCGUUACAGCAGCCGCGGUAAUUCGGAGGCUUCGAGCGUUGUCCGGAUUUAUUGGGUGUAAAGGGAGCGUAGAUGGGUUGUUAAGUCAGUUGUGAAAGUUUGCGGGUCAACCGUAAAAUUGCAAUUGAUACUGGCAGUCUUGAGUACAGGUGAGGUAGGCGGAAUUCGUGGUGUAGCGGUGAAAUGCUUAGAUAUCACGAAGAACUCCGAUUGCGAAGGCAGCUUACUAAACUGCCACUGACAUUGAUGCUCGAAAGUGUGGGUAUCAAACAGGAUUAGAUACCCCUGUAGUC
This 459-nucleotide ribosomal RNA is filed under the name uncultured bacterium. Its description in RNAcentral is "partial 16S ribosomal RNA". It matches the Rfam family "Bacterial small subunit ribosomal RNA", at positions 338 to 795 of the family's 1533-position model. The record is from RNAcentral.